This 489-nucleotide ribosomal RNA is filed under the name uncultured bacterium. Its description in RNAcentral is "bacterial SSU rRNA". It matches the Rfam family "Bacterial small subunit ribosomal RNA", at positions 28 to 507 of the family's 1533-position model. The record is from RNAcentral.
GAUGAACGCUAGCUACAGGCUUAACACAUGCAAGUCGCGGGCAGCAUGAAUUUAGCUUGCUAAAUUUGAUGGCGACCGGCGCACGGGUGAGUAACGCGUAUCCAACCUUCCCCUGUCCACGGGAUAGCCCGUCGAAAGGCGGAUUAAUACCGUAUGAGGUCACAUGACGGCAUCAGAGUGUGACGAAAGGUUUGGCGGACAGGGAUGGGGAUGCGUCUGAUUAGUUAGUCGGCGGGGUAACGGCCCACCGAGACGACGAUCAGUAGGGGUUCUGAGAGGAAGGUCCCCCACAUUGGAACUGAGACACGGUCCAAACUCCUACGGGAGGCAGCAGUGAGGAAUAUUGGUCAAUGGACGGGAGUCUGAACCAGCCAAGUAGCGUGCAGGACGACGGCCCUAUGGGUUGUAAACUGCUUUUAUAUGGGGAUAAAGUGAGUUACGUGUAGCUUAUUGCAGGUACCAUAUGAAUAAGGACCGGCUAAUUCCGUG